GCUCUCGAGACUUCGUCUCAGACCU
This 25-nucleotide microRNA is filed under the name Eisenia fetida (common brandling worm). Its description in RNAcentral is "Efe-Mir-87-o16_5p* (star (passenger))". Lineage: Eukaryota; Metazoa; Annelida; Clitellata; Crassiclitellata; Lumbricidae. The record is from RNAcentral.